UGACCCCACCAGUACUGAAUUCAAAACUCUUGAACAAUCAGUCAUAAAGACUUGUACUGAGAUAUACCAAAAACAAUUUGGAAGAAAAUUUAAACGAUGCAAAGUCAAAAAGUUCAGGGCCAUACCUUCACGAGCAACUGGAACUGAAGCAACAAUUGAGGUUGUGUUUGAUAGUACUACUCCUAUUGCAGAUCUCCCAGAGAAUAACGUUGUUGCUGAAGUCUUAGUAACAGCUGUGAGUAAUCCCAACGAUACCUUCGAUGUGAGAAUAGAUCCGGGAUCAAUAAAAGUAAUAGAAGGUCCAGUUCCAACUACAGCACCUACAA
Molecule: long non-coding RNA, 326 nt
Organism: Etheostoma cragini (Arkansas darter)
Lineage: Eukaryota; Metazoa; Chordata; Actinopteri; Perciformes; Percidae
Exons: 4
Source: RefSeq, a predicted model, not a curated record